UCUUGGUCAUUUAGAGGAAGUAAAAGUCGUAACAAGGUCUCCGUUGGUGAACCAGCGGAGGGAUCAUUACUGAGUUACCGCUCUAUAACCCUUUGUGAACAUACCUACAACUGUUGCUUCGGCGGGUAGGCCGUCCCCUGAAAAGGACGCCUCCCGGCCCGGACCGGACCCCCCGCGGGACCGGACCCGGCGCCCGCCGGAGGAUAACCAAACUCUAUUGUAACGACGUUUCUUCUGAGUGGCAUAAGCAAAAUAAUCAAAACUUUUAACAACGGAUCUCUUGGUUCUGGCAUCGAUGAAGAACGCAGCGAAAUGCGAUAAGUAAUGUGAAUUGCAGAAUUCAGUGAAUCAUCGAAUCUUUGAACGCACAUUGCGCCCGCCAGCAUUCUGGCGGGCAUGCCUGUUCGAGCGUCAUUUCAACCCUCAAGCUCUGCUUGGUGUUGGGGCUCUACGGUCGACGUAGGCCCUCAAAGGUAGUGGCGGACCCUCCCGGAGCCUCCUUUGCGUAGUAACAUUUCGUCUCGCACUGGGAUCCGGAGGGACUCUUGCCGUAAAACCCCCCAAUUUUCCAAAGGUUGACCUCGGAUCAGGUAGGAAUACCCGCUGAACUUA
RNAcentral lists this ribosomal RNA (612 nucleotides) under Colletotrichum boninense. Its description in RNAcentral is "eukaryotic LSU rRNA". The stretch from base 261 to 414 matches the Rfam family "5.8S ribosomal RNA". Lineage: Eukaryota; Fungi; Ascomycota; Sordariomycetes; Glomerellales; Glomerellaceae. The record is from RNAcentral.